Molecule: long non-coding RNA, 1921 nt
Organism: Lycium barbarum (goji berry)
Lineage: Eukaryota; Viridiplantae; Streptophyta; Magnoliopsida; Solanales; Solanaceae
Exons: 3
Source: RefSeq, a predicted model, not a curated record
UUUUGAAAAAAGAAAAAAAGGAAUAACACACUCAAAACCCUAGCCUAGACACCCUAUAAAUAUCGAAUUAUGGACACCCAAAAAUGAGGAGCCGCACCCAUAUUCUGGUCCCAUCUUCUUCGUGACCAUAGUUUCAGAAAAGCUCGCAUCUCCUUCCAGAUUUGAAGGGAUAAACCUCAUCAUCCAUAUGUAGUUGCUGCUAAAAACCAGAAACCACAUCAAUAAACAGCCCCAAAUUCCACUUGUAACACCACCCUAGAACCACUGCUUUAUCUCCGACUUGGUUUUUCGAUCUGAACAGAAGAGAGUUGCAAAGCUGUCCGUCAUCGAGGUUCUUGUUCGAGGUUUCUGAUUCGAGGUUCGCUGUCUGAGUCUUGGUCCAAACUUGCAGAUUCAACGUUGUUGAACGCUCUUUAAGAUGGCAUGAUAAGGCGAUGUGUACCAGAAACAUAAAUGAACAACAUCUUAAGCCACUGCCAUGAUGGAGCUGUUGGAGGACACUAUGGAGGGAGGAGAACAGCAGCUAAAAUACUUGAAGCUGGUUUUUUCUGGCCCACUCUAAUUAGAGAUGCAAGAAAUUAUGUCGCCACUUGUGACAAAUUCCAGAGAAGUGGUAACAUUUCAAAAAGGGACGAAAUGGCUCUUAACUCUAUUCUUGUGUGUGAAAUAUUUGAUGUUUGGGGUAUUGAUUUCAUGGGUCCUUUUCCCCCUUCAAACGGUUGCGAAUAUAUUUUAGUGGCCGUUGACUAUGUGUCAAGGGUAACUCCAAGAAGCAGGAAAUACGUUUCAAAUUCAGAAUCGCGGGUGGAGUUGACAAGCGCUAGAAAAAAAAACAGGGAAGCCCUUUUAUCUCCUUUUACUUUUAAAUUGUGUGUCAUGGGGGACAUGACAUUAUUUAAGUGUGGGGGUGGAGGAAUAUAUUUUGUUCAAAAAAAAAAUAAUAAUAUGCAUUUUCAUUAUUAUUUAACUAAUUGUUUUAAAAAUAUAUGUGUGUGUGGUUUCUUUUUCAUAUUAAAAACAAAAUUGAAAAAAAAAACUGAGUUACUUUAUCCGUAAGGUAACUUAUUUCAUGCACUUCCAUGGAUUUCUUGUUCGGUUCUUUGCCAUGGUGGUAAUAUUUUGAACCGAACACUUUUUAGGAAUUUUAGGUAAUUUCUUUAUUUUGGUGAUAAGCCGGCUAAACUUGGUUUAAUUUGAAAAACAUGAGUCUUCAGAAAGACGAAUUUAACUGAGUACCUUUCAUGAGUUGUACGACUACUUUUCCAAGCUCACACUUGCUUAUUGGUGAUUGGAAUCAUGGUGUUCGAUAGUCCCAAGUGCAUUGUGUGGUCAGUAUAUAUUACCCAGUUCUCAUGUUUAGUCGGAAAUCUAGAACUUGCCUUGAAUGUGGUUUGAGGCGAAAUUCUAGGUAGACUUUGAGUUGAGAAAUAAAAAUAGGCCUUCCUUGUUAAACCACGACCUAAAUUAACCUAUCCUGAUGAUUUUUAUCCCUUGCUAGCCCCGUUGAACCUAAAUGAAUUAUUCCUUAUUUAUUGAUCGCCAAGGCUCAACCCUUAACAUUUUUGUUAUUACGACUUGCUACAUGUUCGCCCUAUUUCCUUUAGGCACUUCAAGAGCUGAUUUGAAUGCAGAAAAUUUAGUGUGAAUGGUGAAAAGAAAAAAAACGUGAAAGGACAAUUGAUUGAGAUUGUUGAUCUUUUGGAGAUGUUGUCUGAGAAAAACAAAAUUGUUGCAAAUUUGAAAAAAAAAAAAGAGGAAAAAAAUGCAACAAAGAGAUGUUGGCAACUCCAUUUUCGAAUGGGAAAUAACAAAUAUUGUGAAAAGAUUGAAAAAGAACAGAGGUUUAUUAUUUAAAAAGAAUUGGAAGGCCAUCGUGUUUGAGCGACAAAAUAAAAGUGUAGUGCCUAUACAGAAUUUAAAU